Molecule: ribosomal RNA, 497 nt
Filed under: uncultured bacterium
Lineage: Bacteria
Description: partial 16S ribosomal RNA
Rfam family: Bacterial small subunit ribosomal RNA
Source: RNAcentral
GAUGAACGCUGGCGGCGUGCCUAAUACAUGCAAGUCGAGCGAACGGACGAGAAGCUUGCUUCUCUGAUGUUAGCGGCGGACGGGUGAGUAACACGUGGAUAACCUACCUAUAAGACUGGGAUAACUUCGGGAAACCGGAGCUAAUACCGGAUAAUAUUUUGAACCGCAUGGUUCAAAAGUGAAAGACGGUCUUGCUGUCACUUAUAGAUGGAUCCGCGCUGCAUUAGCUAGUUGGUAAGGUAACGGCUUACCAAGGCGACGAUGCAUAGCCGACCUGAGAGGGUGCUCGGCCACACUAGAACUGAGACCCCGUCCAGACUCCUACGGGAGGCAGCAGUAGGGAAUCUUCCGCAAUGCGCGAAAGCCUGACGGACCAACCCCGCGUGAGUGAUGAAGGUCUUCGGAUAGUAAAACUCUGUUAUUAGGGAAGAACAUAUGUGUAAGUAACUGUGCACAUCUUGACCGUACCUAAUCAGAAAUCCACCGCUAACUUCUUC